UCCAUUCUCUAUCUCCAUUUUCUUUUCCUUCAAGCUUAAUUUCCAUAUUUUAACAAACCUUCAUCGAUCACAGUUCAAUCCUUCAAAAAUAAUUAUCUACGUUUUCUUCCCUUCAAAACGAGUUAAAUUUUGGAUUUUUGGCCAGAAAUUUUGAAUCAACCUUCAAACCAUUUAAUGGCUUCUUAUCAUUGAAGUCAUCCUUUAAUAGCAGAUGGAAAUUGUGAAUGGGGUUCUCAGUGUUCAUGUUCUUUGAAUGACAGGUGACAUUCUUAUUCCAUUGAUCUACAUAGAAGAACUGUAUCUUCAGUUGAAAUGAAAAUAAGAUUUUUAAAAGAAAUUGAAGAUGAUGCUACUUCUACCCUUGUUGAAAAAGAAGAUCAUGAUUCAAAAAAGUCCCGUAUACAUUCAAAAAAGUCUUCAAGACGAAUUUGCAAAAAAAUGAUUGCUUCUUCUAGCGAAAACGAAAAUUCAAAUAGAUUACAUUUAAUAAAGCUUAAUUAUGAGUUUAUUAAGCUGAUUGGGGUUAUUAAGUGAGUUAAUUCGAGUAAAAAUAUUAUUGUUUUGAUGAUAUUGACUCAAGUAUUUCAUUUGUUAACAUUUUAAAAAAAAGAAAGAGGUAUAUUUUAUUUAAUGUAUAAAAUUUUUAUAAAGAAUACUUCAAUAAAAGUGUAUUUUGAUUAUAUUUUAUUAAUUAAUUACUAUCUUAUCUUUAUAAAAAUAAAUUUAAAUAAAGUAUUGAAAAAUAAAUUCCUAAAUGCAAUCCUUAUUCAACUACCAAUUACGAAAUUUUACUUAUUUCGUAGAUCGUUUAUUAUACCCUUACAGCAUGUCUUAUAUAAGACUAUUUUACGAUGAGACGACUUUAAUAGAAUUUAAUGGGUCAAAGCUAAAAAUAAAACCCAUGCUUAUCUCAUAACUUGACACACCUCUUCUCCCUCAUACAAAACCCACGGUUCUCAAUCCCUCUCUUCCCUCUUCUCUCACGUCCCACUCCCCUCACCUAUAGCGGCGGCACAACCAAGCCCAGCCACGAGUUCCACCACCAACAGCAAUCAUUUCUCCUCCUCCCUUUAUUGUUGGUAACCACUUUUUCCUCUUUUGUUGUUUUGUUUUCAAAUUUAAAUGUUAGGAUUUUAUAAAUUGAUUUGGGGAUUUUGUGACUCAAUUUGAAGUUCAAGAUUGCAAGGUCCUUCAAUGGUGAUUGAGGAGACGAUAUCAUCGAAGAACCCUUCUAGUUGAUAGCUGGAUUCGUUACCUUGAAGCGACAUCGUCGUCGAUUACAGAUCGAAUCCGGUCGGGAACAAUUGGGUUAGCAAUGUUGAUGAGGGUGCCAAGGAUUUUCUUUUGAGCUGAGCCCGUGGGAGUUUAUAGUUUUUAUUAGGAAUUUGUUAAAUGUAUAUUAGUUCUGAUUAUGUUGGUUAUAUUGAACUCGAAGUGAAUUGUAAGAUUACUUUAUGUUUAGGUUAGAUGUUUGGUUGAGAUUUAGCUGAGUUAGUUACAUUAAAGAGCUGGUGAUCCCUUUGCUCAAGUUUUGGAAGUGUGACUUCAGUUUCUUGGGAAACGAACCCAGUGAUGACUCUGUUUACUCAGUUAACGGUAGGCCGGGUUGUUACAAAAAUGGGGUAAAUCUGAAACCUAAAUAAAAAAUAAAUAAACCCAAGGUAAGAUUGGCUAAUUUAUAUAAACGUUUAUAUGAAUAAACCCGAGGUGAGAUUGGAAGAUUAUUGGGGACUAAUUGAGACAAUGUUUGUCCUGUAUAAUGUCGAUGAUGAGACUUUAAUAAUGAGAAAAUAUACUAAUGAGGCAAUUAACGAAUUGUUUCCAUUGUGUUAGAAUUUGAUUUUAACACUUUCGGGUAGCUUGUAAUGUAGCCUCUAUAUAUUAUUCGAUGAUUAAUGGGGACUAAACUGAGACAAUAUUUAUAAAAAAGCGUUUUUCAUUAAGAGAUGAUAAAGUACUACAACUUGUACAUAAUUAUAAAUUCAUUCCAAACAUUUAGUUCAUGUAUUCCUCUUCGUAUGCCACUGCAAUGCAAUCCUUAACAGCCCAUUUAGGUGCUUGUACUUGUUCUGGUAGUAUGCCAUUGUCUUUAAGCUGUUUUUUUUUGUUGUGUGGAACAUCGUAAUGAUUUGAUCCUUUUGCUUUGAAUAUUUCAUUCAUCACAUAUUGUAAGGACAUCUACACAUUACUAAGUGUCUUUGGAUGUAAUUCAUCAUACGCUUGCUCAACUGCUUCUACUAACUUGUCAAUGGAUUUUGGCAUUUUUUUAUGCAUCAAUGAUUGAAUGCUCCUAAAAACACCCAAGUCCAAUAUGUUGCAAUCGGGACUGUUUGGUGGUUGUUGAGUUAAAAUAAAGGUAAAACCAUCUUGUUUGUGUUGUGCUUGUCAUUCUUCAUCGUCUUGAGUAAUGUGUUCCUUGUAAUUAUCUUGUUGAAUAAAAAUGACUUUUUCUCUUUCGUCAUUAGGCCAUUUUAGUUUGAUUGCUGGAAUAAUUUGAGUAAUUAACAUUUUUCUUAUUGCUUUCUUGUUAACUGAGCUGAUGGGUUUUGUCUCUAAUAUACCCUUUGGCCUAUUUUUGAAAGCCCUUUGAGUGGCCAUUUGUUUUGUGAAUGGAAAAAUUUCAAUCUUCCCAUUGAAUGUAGAUUCACCCAAACUGUUCCACCUUGAUCUUGCCACACAACCCAUGAGCAUAAUCUUAGGGAUAAAUUUUGAUGAUUUUCCACUCCUUUAUGGCUUAGGUUCGUUUUUUGCAAGAUAUACUCCUAUAGUUGGUUAAAUUUACUCUAUGGUUUCUCUUUCUUACUUAACUAAUUGAUGAAGUGAAGAAAAAAAUAGAAAGGGAUCGAACCUGAAAAAGUAUUUUUUUUUUCUUGCCUCUAUAGAACAAGUUUGGAGGUUUAUGCAACUCACUUUGGCUCUAAUGCCACACAUGUUGGCAGGAAAGUAAUAAAGAAGGCUAUUGAUUAAUAUUAGCAAAAGUAAUUCCACAAAUUGACAUGAAAAAAAAGAUACGUGUAUAUUUAUAGGAUAAAGACACACUAACUACUAUGCAAAAAACAUGCUAAUGAUAAAGACCCAAUUCUCAACUAUGUAAUCCACUAACUGAUUAUUCUCAACACCCUUUCUUACUACGAACAACUAAUAGCACACAAACAGAUUGUUCCUUCACUUAAUGCAACGAACUUGA
Long non-coding RNA from Amaranthus tricolor (Joseph's coat), 3187 nucleotides. RefSeq lists it as uncharacterized. NCBI's taxonomy places the organism in Eukaryota, Viridiplantae, Streptophyta, Magnoliopsida, Caryophyllales, Amaranthaceae. The record is from RefSeq and is a predicted model, not a curated record. The transcript has 3 exons.